Molecule: ribosomal RNA, 448 nt
Filed under: uncultured bacterium
Lineage: Bacteria
Description: bacterial SSU rRNA
Rfam family: Bacterial small subunit ribosomal RNA
Source: RNAcentral
UCGAGAAUUUUUCUCAAUGGGCGAAAGCCUGAAGGAGCGACGCCGCGUGGGGGAUGAAGGGCUUCGGUCCGUAAACCCCUGUCAUUUGCGAACAAACCUCUUCACCUAACACGUGGAGAGCUGAUUGUAGCGGAAGAGGAAGGGACGGCUAACUCUGUGCCAGCAGCCGCGGUAAUACAGAGGUCCCAAGCGUUGUUCGGAUUCACUGGGCGUAAAGGGUGCGUAGGUGGUCGGGUAAGUUUGAUGUGAAAUCUCCAAGCUCAACUUGGAAACUGCAUUGAAUACUAUUCGGCUCGAGGGUUGGAGAGGAGACUGGAAUUCUCGGUGUAGCAGUGAAAUGCGUAGAUAUCGAGAGGAACACCGGUGGCGAAGGCGAGUCUCUGGACAACUCCUGACACUGAGGCACGAAAGCUAAGGGAGCAAACAGGAUUAGAUACCCCGGUAGUCC